UACGAAGGAUCCUAGCGUUGUCCGGAUUUACUGGGUUUAAAGGGUGCGUAGGCGGAUUUUUAAGUCAGUGGUGAAAGCUUGCAGCUUAACUGUAAAAUUGCCAUUGAAACUGAAAGUCUUGAGUGCGGUUGAGGUCACUGGAAUAUAUCAUGUAGCGGUGAAAUGCUUAGAUAUGAUAUAGAACACCAAUUGCGAAGGCAGCUCGCUACACUAUUAUUGACGCUGAGGCACGAAAGCGUGGGGAUCAAACAGG
Molecule: ribosomal RNA, 253 nt
Filed under: uncultured bacterium
Lineage: Bacteria
Description: partial 16S ribosomal RNA
Rfam family: Bacterial small subunit ribosomal RNA
Source: RNAcentral